CCUCUCUGCUCUCUCUCCCAAACACAAGUCAGUCAGUAGUUGGUUUUCCGGCGAGUGAGGAGCUAGUCGUGUUUGAGCUUCGAAGGUGCUGUAAUUCAAAGCUCUGAGCUGUUUUAUCCUGGAGGAGGUGUUGCAAGCAUCCCCAGUGCAGCAGGUGGGGGCAAUAUUCUCUUCAAGAGCAGUCAGGUCUUCGUAUAAGGCCUGACGACUCAGCUG
RNAcentral lists this long non-coding RNA (216 nucleotides) under Daucus carota (carrot). RNAcentral's name for it is "long non-coding RNA (DCAR_LNC005178)". Lineage: Eukaryota; Viridiplantae; Streptophyta; Magnoliopsida; Apiales; Apiaceae. The record is from RNAcentral.